Molecule: ribosomal RNA, 485 nt
Filed under: uncultured bacterium
Lineage: Bacteria
Description: partial 16S ribosomal RNA
Rfam family: Bacterial small subunit ribosomal RNA
Source: RNAcentral
GAUGAACGCUAGCGGCAGGCCUAAUACAUGCAAGUCGAACGGUGUCUUCGGACAUAGUGGCGCACGGGUGCGUAACACGUAUGCAACCUACCUUACAUUGGGGGAUAGCCUUUCGAAAGGGAGAUUAAUACCGCAUAAGACAGUAGCUGGGCAUCCAGCAGCUGUUAAAGAUUUAUCGAUGUAAGCUGGGCAUGCGUCCAAUUAGCUAGUUGGUGAGGUAACGGCUCACCAAGGCAAUGAUUGGUAGGGGAACUGAGAGGUCAAUCCCCCACACUGGAACUGAGAUACGGGCCAGACUCCUACGGGAGGAAGCAGUAGGGAAUAUUGGGCAAUGGACGCAAGUCUGACCCAGCCAUGCCGCGUGCAGGAUGAAGGCGUUAUGCGUUGUAAACUGCUUUUAUACAGGAAGAAACGACUCUUGCGAGAGGCAUUGACGGUACUGUAUGAAUAAGCACCGGCUAACUCCGUGCCAGCCGCCGCCGUAA